RNAcentral lists this ribosomal RNA (417 nucleotides) under uncultured bacterium. RNAcentral's name for it is "bacterial SSU rRNA". It matches the Rfam family "Bacterial small subunit ribosomal RNA", at positions 107 to 518 of the family's 1533-position model. The record is from RNAcentral.
UGAGGAAUACAUCUGAAUCUCCUUUUUCUUGGGGGAUAACGUACGGAAACUUACGCUAAUACCCCACACGACCUACAGGUGAGAGCACGGGAUCUUCUGACCUUUCGCGAUUGAAUGAGCCGAUUUCCGAGUAUCUAGUUGGCGGGGUAAAGGCCCACCAAGGCGACCAUACAUAUCUGGUCUCAGAGGAUGAUAAACCACACUGCGAACUGAGACACGACUCCACACUCCUACCGGAGGCGGCACUGGGGAAUAUUUGACAAUGGGCGCACGCCUGAUCCACCCAUACCGCGUGGGUGAAGAAAGCCUUCCGGUUGUAAAGCCCUUUUGUUGGGAAAGAAAUCCAGCCGGCUAAUACCUGGUUGGGAUGACAGUACCCAAAGAAUAAGCACCGGCUAACUUCGUGCCAGCAGCCGC